AGUAGAGAUGCUAUCCAAGGGCUGAUGAUAUGCAGGUGGUCAUUCAAAUACGUGCACCUGAAUACUCACUCAUCUUGCACCAACAAGGUUUAUAGGCAACCUACUGCAGUGAGUCACGCUACUCCCACCCCUGCCUACCCCCACAAGCCCAGGAGACAGAGAGAGGCUAAACACCAGCGCUUCGAAACAGAGUGCAGUUUAAACAGGAUCUUGCAUCCUAAGCAAAAAUGUUCCAGCUCCACUCCAUGUAAUUCUGUGACGAGUAGUUGAGGGAGAUUCCCUUCAAAGAAGUUCCAGAAGCUGGAGGGAAGUUUAAGAGGUCAGAAGACAGGGGAAGAGGACAAAGAGCUGUUUUUGCCAGAAAGUCCUUUUGCGGGGGGAUCUUGACUGUAAAACAGAGAGGAAGGAUAAUUCAGUCUCAUGCAGCAGGCAUGGAGCCCAUGAGCCCUUGCUGUCCUACAUUGAACCAAGAGGGGAGGGUGGGGACUCAGGUGCCAACCUGGCUUGCACACACACUGGUGGGCUGUUUUUGAAUCUGUAAAAUGGGAGGAAAAGUGUCCUUCCUACUCCCUGCACGGGGAGAUGAGAGGACUGGUGUGCAUGAAGCUGGCUCCCCCGGCAUCGCCAGGCCACCAUCCGGGCCAGCCCAGUGACAGGGGCCAGGAGCCAGAACCCUCCCUCUCCAGGCCUUGGAUUUUAUUGGGAGACCCAGCUGGAGAAGAAGCAGGAGGACUUGAUGGGCACGAACGCUAUUCUGAGACUCAUGGAACAGACGUAGUGUCAUAUGAAAGUAGCUGUGAUUUCUAAAUGGUGACCAAGUGCCAGGAUUUGUUGCUGUUUAUAACCCCCCGGGUGCUAUCAGAUGUGCUGGAUGCUGGAAGAAUCAAUACUCUAAUCUUUGGUUCAUGAGAAUCCGACUCAGGUUCAUGAAAAAUCGGAACUUUCUCUGGUGCGAGCUUCGCUUAUAACUUUGACGUAGGGGACCCGGAAGUCCUUAUGGAUGCAGAGAGACAUCGGAAAAGUUGGCUUUCCUUGGCCUCUAAAAAGAUUCAGAAUAAAGGCUGGAAAAACGAGAGGAUAUCAUGAUGAAGAUGCACAGCAAUUCCAUUCCUGGGUAUAUACCCAAGAGAGCCUAAAACAGCGCUCAAUAAAUAGUUCUACACAAAUGUUUGUAGCAGCAUUAUUCAUGAUAGCUAAAAAGUGGAAGCAACUCAGAUGUCCAUUAUUGGAGGCAUGGAUAAACAAAAUGUGGUCUCUCCACAUAUUGGACCAUUAUUCAGUCAUAAAAAAGAGUGGAAG
Long non-coding RNA from Cercocebus atys (sooty mangabey), 1299 nucleotides. RefSeq lists it as uncharacterized. The record is from RefSeq and is a predicted model, not a curated record. The transcript is spliced from 4 exons. Lineage: Eukaryota; Metazoa; Chordata; Mammalia; Primates; Cercopithecidae.